This is a non-coding RNA of Candidatus Pacearchaeota archaeon CG1_02_35_32, 74 nucleotides long. NCBI's taxonomy places the organism in Archaea, Nanobdellati. The record is from Rfam.
GCGCAGGUGGCGAAGUGGUUAACGCGCUCGGCUGCAACCCGGGUAUUCCGCCGGUUCGAAUCCGGCCCUGCGCU